RNAcentral lists this ribosomal RNA (406 nucleotides) under uncultured bacterium. Its description in RNAcentral is "bacterial SSU rRNA". It matches the Rfam family "Bacterial small subunit ribosomal RNA", at positions 969 to 1375 of the family's 1533-position model. The record is from RNAcentral.
CCUUACCUGGCCUUGACAUCCAGAGAACUUUCCAGAGAUGGAUUGGUGCCUUCGGGAACUCUGAGACAGGUGCUGCAUGGCCGUCGUCAGCUCGUGUCGUGAGAUGUUGGGUUAAGUCCCGUAACGAGCGCAACCCCUAUCCCUAGUUGCUAGCAGUUCGGCUGAGAACUCUAGGGAGACUGCCGGUGACAAACCGGAGGAAGGUGGGGAUGACGUCAGGUCAUCAUGGCCCUUACGGCCAGGGCUACACACGUGCUACAAUGGUGCGUACAGAGGGCUGCAAACCCGCGAGGGGGAGCUAAUCUCACAAAACGCAUCGUAGUCCGGAUCGGAGUCUGCAACUCGACUCCGUGAAGUCGGAAUCGCUAGUAAUCGCGAAUCAGAAUGUCGCGGUGAAUACGUUCCC